This 392-nucleotide long non-coding RNA is filed under the name Mytilus galloprovincialis (Mediterranean mussel). Lineage: Eukaryota; Metazoa; Mollusca; Bivalvia; Mytilida; Mytilidae. The record is from RNAcentral.
AAAAAAAAGUUUUUCAAAUCAUUACUGAUAAAAGCCCCUUUUAUUUAAAAAAAACCAUAUAUCUGAUUUAUCAACUAUAUCUACAAUGUUAGGUUAUUUAUAAAACAAAAGUAAAUACCGUAAUUUUACAAACAUUUUCUCUGUAAAGUUUAUAAAUAAAAAUAGAUAUAAUGCAUGCAAUUUAAAAAGGUAUAAACUCACUUACAUUCUAACCUCCCACACGAACUUGUUGAUGGAGAGAUGUUUCCACUAAUAUUUGCAACUUUACUAGGGAAGUCAUUGCAAAUAAAUACAACUUUCUCGACCUAUUGAAGACUGCUUACACCCAAUGUCAGAUUCACCUGAACCAACAACUUUCUUUAUUGAUAACGAAGCUACUGUCUUGAUUUUUU